UCCCAUGUGGUCUAGUGGCUAGGAUCCCACGCUCUCACCGUGGUGGCCGGGGUUCAAUUCCCCGCAUGGGAG
This is a transfer RNA of Absidia repens, 72 nucleotides long. It matches the Rfam family "tRNA". From Rfam's summary of the family: Transfer RNA (tRNA) molecules are approximately 80 nucleotides in length. Their secondary structure includes four short double-helical elements and three loops (D, anti-codon, and T loops). NCBI's taxonomy places the organism in Eukaryota, Fungi, Mucoromycota, Mucoromycetes, Mucorales, Cunninghamellaceae. The record is from Rfam.